Molecule: ribosomal RNA, 468 nt
Filed under: uncultured bacterium
Lineage: Bacteria
Description: partial 16S ribosomal RNA
Rfam family: Bacterial small subunit ribosomal RNA
Source: RNAcentral
GACGAACGCUGGCGGCGUGCUUAACACAUGCAAGUCGAACGGAAAGGCCCUGCUUUUGUGGGGUGCUCGAGUGGCGAACGGGUGAGUAACACGUGAGUAACCUGCCCUUGACUUUGGGAUAACUUCAGGAAACUGGGGCUAAUACCGGAUAGGAGCUCCUGCUGCAUGGUGGGGGUUGGAAAGUUUCGGCGGUUGGGGAUGGACUCGCGGCUUAUCAGCUUGUUGGUGGGGUAGUGGCUUACCAAGGCUUUGACGGGUAGCCGGCCUGAGCGGGUGACCGGCCACAUUGGGACUGAGAGACGGCCCAGACUCGUACGGGAGGCAGCAGUGGGGAAUAUUGCACAAUGGGCGGAAGCCUGAUGCAGCAACGCCGCGUGCGGGAUGACGGCCUUCGGGUUGUAAACCGCUUUCGCCUGUGACGAAGCGUGAGUGACGGUAAUGGGUAAAGAAGCACCGGCUAACUACGUG